RNAcentral lists this ribosomal RNA (468 nucleotides) under uncultured bacterium. RNAcentral describes it as "partial 16S ribosomal RNA". It matches the Rfam family "Bacterial small subunit ribosomal RNA", at positions 28 to 507 of the family's 1533-position model. The record is from RNAcentral.
GACGAACGCUGGCGGCGUGCUUAACACAUGCAAGUCGAACGGAAAGGCCCUGCUUUUGUGGGGUGCUCGAGUGGCGAACGGGUGAGUAACACGUGAGUAACCUGCCCUUGACUUUGGGAUAACUUCAGGAAACUGGGGCUAAUACCGGAUAGGAGCUCCUGCUGCAUGGUGGGGGUUGGAAAGUUUCGGCGGUUGGGGAUGGACUCGCGGCUUAUCAGCUUGUUGGUGGGGUAGUGGCUUACCAAGGCUUUGACGGGUAGCCGGCCUGAGAGGGUGACCGGCCACAUUGGGACUGAGAUACGGCCCAGACUCCUACGGGAGGCAGCAGUGGGGGAUAUUGCACAAUGGGCGGAAGCCUGAUGCAGCAACGCCGCGUGCGGGACGACGGCCUUCGGGUUGUAAACCGCUUUCGCCUGUGACGAAGCGUGAGUGACGGUAAUGGGUAAAGAAGCACCGGCUAACUACGUG